Molecule: ribosomal RNA, 423 nt
Filed under: Triticum aestivum (bread wheat)
Lineage: Eukaryota; Viridiplantae; Streptophyta; Magnoliopsida; Poales; Poaceae
Description: partial small subunit ribosomal RNA
Source: RNAcentral
AUGAGUAGUACAAAAUGUGCAAUCCUCAGCUGGAACAUUAGGGGGCUGAACACACCGGCCAGGCGAACGGCUGUGCGAGAGAUCGCAGAAGCACAGCGAGCAACCAUCCUCUGUUUGCAAGAAACCAAAUUAGACACUUGGACGCCCAGUGUUGUCAGAGAGCUGGGAGGAGCUAGAUUAGAUGGAUGUGAUGUUCUACCAGCAAUUGGUACUAGGGGAGGGAUUGCUGUCCUCUGGGACAAGAGUCUGAUCAGUUUUGCGACGCACACAGUUGGGAGUUUUUCAACCACGGGGAAGGUGUCUCUGCUUCAGGAUGGACUGGAGUUCUGGCUAACAACAGUGUAUGAGCCAGUUGAUGAUGCAAGAAAGGAUGCCUUUCUAGCCGAGCUCGCCCACGCUGGACCACCACAAGGAGAACCCUAG